Molecule: ribosomal RNA, 433 nt
Filed under: uncultured bacterium
Lineage: Bacteria
Description: partial 16S ribosomal RNA
Rfam family: Bacterial small subunit ribosomal RNA
Source: RNAcentral
AACGAACGCUGGCGGCAUGCCUAACACAUGCAAGUCGAACGAGACCUUCGGGUCUAGUGGCGCACGGGUGCGUAACGCGUGGGAACCUGCCCUUAGGUUCGGAAUAACUCCCCGAAAGGGGUGCUAAUACCGGAUAAUGUCUUCGGACCAAAGAUUUAUCGCCUUUGGAUGGGCCCGCGUUGGAUUAGCUAGUUGGUAGGGUAAAAGCCUACCAAGGCGACGAUCCAUAGCGGGUCUGAGAGGAUGAUCAGCCACACUGGGACUGAGACACGGCCCAGACUCCUACGGGAGGCAGCAGUGGGGAAUAUUGGACAAUGGGCGAAAGCCUGAUCCAGCAAUGCCGCGUGAGCGAUGAAGGCCUUAGGGUUGUAAAGCUCUUUUACCCGGGAUGAUAAUGACAGUACCGGGAGAAUAAGCUCCGGCUAACUCCGUG